AGAUUCUUUAUCAACGCACCUUGGCUUUGCAAAUUCAGCUCUAUUUGAUUAAUUUUUUUCUCAUUUUCCUCGUUCUUUUUUUCAGAAGCUCUAAUAAGUUUUUCCAAGGCUUCUUCAAAACUUGAUUUCUGAUCUGGUUGUUGUGUCUGAUUUUGAAAUUUGGAUGUAUUUUGUUGUCUCGGUGCUUGAGUUUGAUUGUUACUCCAUAAAAAAUCCGUG
RNAcentral lists this long non-coding RNA (219 nucleotides) under Panax ginseng (ginseng). RNAcentral describes it as "long non-coding RNA (PGIN_LNC004302)". Lineage: Eukaryota; Viridiplantae; Streptophyta; Magnoliopsida; Apiales; Araliaceae. The record is from RNAcentral.